UCGCGGCUUAUCACCGGCAGUCCCCUUAGAGUGCCCAACUGAAUGAUGGCAACUAAGGGCGAGGGUUGCGCUCGUUGCGGGACUUAACCCAACACCUCACGGCACGAGCUGACGACAGCCAUGCAGCAUCUGUGCGUGCUCCCUUGCGGGUCCUCACCCUUUCAGGUUCGUACCACGAGCAUGUCCAACCUGGGUAAGGUUCUUCGCGUUGCGUCGAAUUAAACCACAUGCUCCACCGCUUGUGCGGGCCCCCGUCAAUUCCUUUGAGUUUCGACCUUGCGGCCGUACUCCCCAGGCGGGGUACUUACUGCGUUAGCUGCGGCACCGACGGUAAACCGCCGACACUUAGUACCCAUCGUUUAGGGCGUGGACUAC
This 375-nucleotide unclassified non-coding RNA is filed under the name uncultured Nitrospiraceae bacterium. RNAcentral describes it as "contains 16S-23S intergenic spacer region". The record is from RNAcentral. Lineage: Bacteria; Pseudomonadati; Nitrospirota; Nitrospiria; Nitrospirales; Nitrospiraceae.